This is a non-coding RNA of Tachysurus vachellii, 390 nucleotides long. The record is from the annotation of a RefSeq genome assembly. Lineage: Eukaryota; Metazoa; Chordata; Actinopteri; Siluriformes; Bagridae.
UGUUCAGAAAUGGCUCAACUAUACAACUUACUGUACAUAGUGAGAUACACACCACUGAUUCUCACUCUAGUUACAGGCAGUUUUGCAGAUAAAAUUGGACCAAAGGAUGAAGAUGCCAACAUUGUGGGGACAGAAACAGACACUGUUACUCUGAAAUGUUCAUAUGAGACAAGCAGUAAUGACAUUUAUCUUUACUGGUACAAACAAUAUCCUAACAGCGCACCAAAGUUUUUACUGUAUAAAGGAGCAAGAUCAAGAUCUGCCCAGAGCACUCCUGAUGAUCAUCGAUUAGAGUCAGAAACAAGCAGAGACUCUACUGAACUUACUAUCAGAGGUCUAAAGCUCUCAGAUUCUGCACGCUAUCAUUGUGCUCUUGAAGUAACACAGUGA